Molecule: ribosomal RNA, 119 nt
Filed under: Pteropus alecto (black flying fox)
Lineage: Eukaryota; Metazoa; Chordata; Mammalia; Chiroptera; Pteropodidae
Source: RNAcentral
GUCUACGGCCAUGCCACCCUGAACAAGCCCGAUCCUGUCUGAUCUCGGAAGCUAAGCAGGGUGGGGCCUGGUUAGUACUUGGAUGGGAGACCACCUAGGAAGACCAGGUGCUGUAGGCA